Molecule: ribosomal RNA, 356 nt
Filed under: uncultured bacterium
Lineage: Bacteria
Description: partial 16S ribosomal RNA
Rfam family: Bacterial small subunit ribosomal RNA
Source: RNAcentral
CCUACGGGGGGCUGCAGUGGGGGAUAUUGCACAAUGGGGGGAACCCUGAUGCAGCGACGCCGCGUGGGUGAAGGAGUGCUUCGGCAUGGAAAGCCCUAUCGGCAGGGAACAAGCAUGACGGUACCUGACUAAGAAGCUCCGGCUAACUACGUGCCAGCAGCCGCGGUAAUACGUAGGGGGCGAGCGUUAUCCGGAUUCACUGGGUGUAAAGGGAGCGUAGACGGCCAUGCAAGUCAGGGGUGAAAACCCUGGGCCCAACCACGCGACUGCCAGUGGAAAUGGAAGGUUGGGGUGCGGGAGGAGGCGGGGGAAUUCCUGGGGUAGCGGUGAAAUGGGGAGAUAUCAGGGGGGACCCC